This 30241-nucleotide long non-coding RNA is filed under the name Triticum aestivum (bread wheat). RNAcentral describes it as "long non-coding RNA (TAES_LNC022867)". The record is from RNAcentral. Lineage: Eukaryota; Viridiplantae; Streptophyta; Magnoliopsida; Poales; Poaceae.
GCGAGGCCCGGGCUUGGAGUACGGCUGGUCUGCUUAAGGGCGACCUCUCCUCCUUCCUUGGGUCCCUAGCUAGGUGGGUAGCGGGCGAAUAGUUGGCUAGCUUGUGGGUGGAUGGGGAGUCCGCAUGUAUUGUAAUCGCAUGUAAGACUCUGGCGGAUGGGGCUCUUUACCCCCUUUCUCUCUAUAAUAUAUGAUACACACGCUUGUGUGUAUCCUCAAAAAAAAAGCAAUAUUGCAUUUUCCCUUAUUUGGUUAGUUAGGCCAACUGAAUUUACUUACCUGUGUCCCUAACAAUCUAUUCCCUUCCUUUGUAGAAUAUUGCGCAUCACGACCAAUUCAGGCCAUGGAGAGAUGAUUUCAAACAGUACAAAGUUACUAUGGUAGAAAUAGAAUGAGAUCACAAACAGAAUUACAGAAGAGUUUGUGCUUUCUCGAUUGGGGUGUCACAGCCCCAGUUUCUCCUUGUUUUACUAGUUUGGUCUCCAUUGUGCAUCUUACACUGGUUGCUAUUGUUAUUUUGUCUCCAAAAACGUAGAGCUGAUGCUACCAGAAAGUAGUAGCAUAUCACUCCCCAAAAUCAAUUAUCUACAGACAGGGGUAUACCAUAGUUUGCUCAGCCUUUUCUUUCAGACAGAAGGUUUAUGGACGACAAUGUAUUGUUUUUAUAUGUGCAACUGCAGUCAUAACGUUGGAGUGCUCUCUGGUUCAUGCAUCUUUCUCAUGGAAGAGCAAGUGUGUACAAAUCAGCCUUUGGAUGGGAAAACCACUUUCUAGCGGAGUUAUAUACAUCUUUUUCUUUGAGUGAAAUAUACGUCUGUUUACAUCUGGGAUCUAGCUGCUGUUGAAUUUGACGUGGGGUUUGCCCAUGCUGAAAUUGAGCACCCUAGAUCUCAUGACGUACCUUUUCUUUUUUGACGGAACCUCGCUGUGCUCCUGAAGAAGAAUAUAUAUAUAGUUGGCUCGAUUUAUACAGAAAACUAGCUUGAAAAAGCAUACAAGGAAUGAUUGAGUAAGGGCCGAGCAUGCAAAAACCCUGAUAACGAAAAGAAAAAGAAAGAUCACCGGCCAAACUUGACCUCCACCGCCAACAUGGAUUUAUACAGGGCAUCGACCACCAUCACCAUCGGCAAUGGAGCGAAGUUGCUACUCUGGCAUGACAACCGGAGCAGUAAGGACCCCCUCAAGGCCUACGCUCCUGAGCUCUUCAAGAUCGCAACCAGAAAUAUUAGGACGAUUAUGGAGCUACAAGAUGAGAAUUAGAUCUCUGUCCUUGUCUGUCUUCAUUUCCCGGCUCAGCUCCGUGACUUGUUCACCUUUGGACGAUGCUAUCCCAUGCCGCCCUUGCUCCGGGGCAGGAGGACCGAAUAUCUUGGAACUGUACAUCCGUUGACAUUUAGGGCCUGUUUGGUUGCUACCCUGAUGCAAAGCUGCCUGGCCUGGUGCUUGCCUGAGAGCUGCCUGUUUGGUUCGAGUCCUGGAGAUCCGAUAGCAGCCUGGCCUGGAAAAGCGGAGUGCGUCAUUAGCCUGGCCAUAAAACCCAAGCUCGUUGUUAGCCUGGUCCAGGCUACCGGAACCAGACGCCUGGACGUGCCUGAGACGUGCCUGGGAUGCUAACCCUCUUGUUCAAUUUAAAAAUAGCAGAAAGUACAGAUGAACAGUGACCUGAUUUAAUAUAUUAAACACCCCCGGCCUGGACAGGAACCAAACAAUCCUCGCCUGGCCAGGCAGAAAACAACUGACAUCUCAGGCGUUGUCCAGGCACUCGAUUUUUUCAGGCAUCAGCUUCAGGACGUCAACCAAACAUGCCCUUAGUCCUUGGCUUCGGCCUACAUAACUCUCUCUUGCGGUAGAUUCCGUGUUGUUCCAUCAAUGGGACUACGGGAGUCUCGGAGUGGUCGACAAGAUGGUUUCAUCAACAUCUAAGAUUCAAAGUGUCGACAUAGUGCAAGAAUCUUCUACGCGAUUUGAACAUCUGGAAGGAGCCAAACCACCGCGUUUUCAUGGCACCCUUUCAAGGACAUCAAGCAGUGUGACUGGCUUAUGGCCUUGCCCAAGCCAACGAGGGCAUUGACGCUUUUGACCGGUUUUUAGUUGCCAUAUAGGGCUUCCACAAAUUCUCUUAAAAAAUUUGUCAUCGCUGUACAUAAGCCUCUUUUUUGUCUAAAUGAAAAGUUCCUCCGAAAAAAGAAGUUUGGACUAAACUCUAAAUGAAAAGUUUCUUCGAAAAAAGAAGUUUGGACUAAACUCUAGCUCCAAACUACAAAGAAGACUAACUUCAUCAGUUUCUACUUUUGCUUCUGGAUGAAACAAAAGCUGACAGUAAAAUUGUAAGGGUGCAGGACGACUAGACCGAAUCUGUUUGUACUAGUAGUUGGGGCGGUGUGGGUAUGUGCCCUUUCCAUUUUCUUUUUUACUGUCCGAGUGGCACAUGGACAUGCAAGCGCAAUAUAUCAGUAACAAAUUAAGAGGCAUGUUGCAUAACUCGGUUGCAUCCAUUAACAAAUAAAUAAGCAGAAGCAAGCCUGAAGAAGGCUAUGCUUACUUAGAGCACGACAGUGGCGGAGACACCGCCCAGCGACCCUGGGCACUUGCCCGGGCUCGCUGGAGCGGCGACAACAGCGAUCAACAAAAAUCUAAUAGGCCAAACCUGUUCGGUUUCCUGCUUUACCCGGGCAAAAAAAAACAUUUGGGCCUUUGUUUCGUACAGUUCACAGCCCAGGCCAAAACAAUUGACGUGAGGGAAUCAAUAGAUCGAUCUCUCUUCCCUCAAAAAAAAAAACAGAUCGAUCUCUCCUACUCCCCCUUUCUCUGUUCGUCUCUCAGGGGCGAGCGCAGGGGCUGGCGGCUGCCGGCUGGCCUUGAGCCCUAGACGGUUAGACGCACGGCCAGCGGCGAGCAGACACACGGCGCCCGGGGAGGUCUAAUCCUCCCUCAUCCGCUCCUUCCUCUCAUUCAGUUUCACCAGUUCUUUCCGUAAGAAUCCUCCAUGAAAAUUAGGGCUAGGGAUUGAAUCUCCCAAGACCUCAAGCACAACUUCAAAAGAGCAGCAGCGCUGCGCUCCUCUAUGCUAUGAUGUUAGUUAAAUUCUUAAUUACUACUACUACAUGCCUUCAGAAGAAACAAUCUUCAUACAAAAGUGUUUGAUGAUUUUUUUUUUACAUCUGAAAAGUCAUUUGGCAAUGAACCAAUAGACUUAGGGCUUAAAUUUAGAGAAGUAUGCUGAUGGCUAGAGAAAAAUUAUAUUUGUUGGAUGCUGGAAAGUGGAAACUUGUUACUUGUAGCUCAUUUUUUUAUUUACUUAUGUAGCAACUAACUUCAAGUUUUAACAUCAAAUUUCAGAGAUGAGGUGGUUUUUGGUUAAUAGAGCAAGCACUGAAAAUGUGAAUGGUGUGUAAACGGAAAUAGAAGUUGAGGAGCAGACAACACCUCACAUUGCUAAUGAAUUUAAUCCAAAUGAGAUUGAGCAUUUACUGCAAUACAGUCUCGGAAAGGGCAUUUGCCUUGUGAUUUUCUUUAGUGCACUAUUGGUAUGUCCCAUGUGACCAUAUCUAUUUUUGCAAGCUUUCUAUUUUGAAUAUAUUCACAUCACACAACUAAAUUUAUUUGAAUUAUAAAUCCAUUUUAUCCCACAGUGUCUUCUAGGACUUUGGUAACAUGGCGAGUUUGCCUCUAUGCAAGGCUGGUUUUGCGUCCUUCUUUUGGCAAAAAUGAACAAAUGAAAGAUGCUUUUUACCGUGGCAAAAGAAAUUUCACACCGACAUCUGGUAUGGAUAGCUGUACUUUUGUUGGCAACAUGGCGAGUUUUCCUCUAUGCAAGGCUAGUUAUAUGUCUUCUGUUUGUCAAGUUUAGUUUAUUUGGUCUGUGAAACUUCAUUUUUGUGACACUAUUAUGUUUAUGUUUUCACUUAGUUAUUAAUGUGGAUUUGUGGUUUGGAUGUUUGGUGCUAUAUUAUAUGUUGCGUAUCCGAAUACCCGGUUAUUGAUUUUAAAUUAUACACUUAGGCCCAACUUGCCCAGGCUCCACAAAAAUUCUGGCUCCGCCACUGGAGCACGACCUACACGACUCCAGACGCCAUCGACUCUGAUGGCCAUGAUGAGGAUGCUUGCGCGACAAGGCUGGAGGAGAAAAACCUGACCCUGCAUGCCCGGCUGUUCCUGGCGGAGAGCAACAUGGCCGACCUUCACCGCCACCUCGUCGGCGUCGAGUCCCUCUGCCGCCGUUCUUUUGUGCCGUCUUCCUUCCAUUCCCUUAUCCCUUAGCCACCACAUCCUUGAGAAUACAACCUCAAGCACCGACACAUCACCUGCAACCCGAAUACAAUUAUCGCCAAAGCUAGUGCAAGAUCAAAGACAGCAAAAUGAGAAGGUACAUUUGUUGCUUGUGUAUAGACAGGGAAUGAAUAUGCAGUGAUCCAGAUCAGUUCAACAGAUAGUAGGUUGUACCUCGUGUUUGACAUCCAAGCACUUCUUGAUGUGCCCAUGCCAGCCUGAGGAGGCUGGGAGCUCUCCUAUUGCCUGCAUUGCAUGUGUACUCAUAAAUUUAAAAACAGCUUGGCUAAAAGCUCAUAUCACUUUCAGAAUAAAACUUUGUAAAGCAGAGUUUGAUAACAAAACCAUGAGGUGAACCAGGAUUUUUGAUAAAUAUAAAAUCAAGAGGCCAUGUUAUACUCCAACAACCUAUAUUACAAAAUCGUCAGUUUUAUCAUCAUAAUGUGAACAUGGAAUCAAUAUCAUUGAUUACAUAAGAUGCAUUGUUUUUGACAGUGCAAUCGCAUACCUGCCACUAUAUAUCCAUUUAGGCUGGGAGCUCUCCUAUUGCCUGCAUUAUCUACGCUAGAAGGCUGCUUUAAAACUGAAGCAAGAAGCGUUAAAAUAAAAGUGCAAUACAAACAAUUCAUUACUAAAAAAAGGGAAUGAAUAUGACUCUCAUCGUCCCUGAUAAUGAGAAGGUACCAGAUAGAAGAGCGCUACAUCUAUAUGGCAACACUUAAAAAUAUGGACAAAUGUUGGGGAAUGUAGUAAUUUCAAAAAAAUUCCUACGCACACACAAGAUCAUGGUGAUGUAUAGCAACAAGAGGGAGAGUGUGUCCACGUAUCCUCGUAGACCGAAAGCGGAAGCGUUAGCACAACACGGUUGAUGUAGUCGUACGUCUUCACGAUCCGACCGAUCAAGUACCGAAUGUACGGCACCUCCGAGUUCAGCACACGUUAAGCUCGAUGACGUCCCUCGAACCCCGAUCCAGCCGAGCUUUGAGGGAGAGUUCCGUUAGCACGACGGCAUGGUGACGAUGAUGAUGUUCUACCGACGCAGGGCUUCGCCUAAGCACCGCUACGAUAUUAUCGAGGUGGAUUAUGGUGGAAGGGGGCACCACACACGGCUAAGAGAUCCAAGGGAUCAAUUGUUGUGUCUCCAAGGGGUGCCUCCCUCCCCGUAUAUAAAGGAGUGGAGGAGGGGGGAGGCGGCCGGCCACCCUAGGCGUGCCCCAUGAGGAGUCCUACUCCCACCGGGAGUAGGACUUCCCCCUUCCAAGUGGGAGUAGGAGAGGAGAGGGAAGGAGAUAGAGGGGGAAAGGAAAGGGGGGCGCCGCCCCCCUCCUUGUCCAAUUCGGACUGGGGGGGGGGGCUGCCCUUGGCCGCCCCCCUCUUCUCCACUAGGGCCCAAUAGGCCCAUUAGUCUCCCCGGGUGGUUCCGGUAAUCCCCCGGUACUCCGGUAUAUGCCCGAUACUCUCCGAAACCAUUCCGGCAUCCGAACAUAGUCGUCCAAUAUAUCAAUCUUUAUCUCUCGACCAUUUCGAGACUCCUCGUCAUGUCCGUGAUCACAUCCGGGACUCCGAACUACCUUCGGUACAUCAAAAAAUAUAAACUCAUAAUAUAACAGUCAUGUAACUUUAAGCGUGCGGACCCUACGGGUUCGAGAACUAUGUAGACAUGACCGAGACACGUCUCCGGCCAAUAACCAAUAGAGGAACCUGAAUGCUCAUAUUGGCUCCCACAUAUUCUACGAAGAUCUUUAUCGAUUAAACCGCAUAACAACAUACGUUGUUUCCUUUGUCAUCGUAUGUUACUUGCCCAAGAUUCGAUCGUCGGUAUCUCAAUACCUAGUUCAAUCUCGUUACCGGCAAGUCUCUUUACUCAUUACGUAAUGCAUCAUCCCCGUAACUAACUCAUUAGCUACAUUUCUUGCAAGGCUUAUAGUGAUGUGCAUUACCGAGAGGGCCUAGAGAUACCUCUCCGACAAUCGGAGUGAUAAAUCAUAAUCUCGAAAUACGUCAACUCAACAAGUACCUUCGGAGACACCUGUAGAGCACAUUUAUAAUCACCCAGUUACGUUGUGACGUUUGGUAGCACACAAAGUGUUCCUCCGGUAAGUGGGAGUUACAUAAUCUCAUAGUCAUAGGAACAUCUAUAAGUCAUGAAGAAAGCAAUAACAACAUACUAAACGAUCAAGUGCUAAGCUAACAAAAUGGGUCAAGUCAAUCACAUCAUUCUCCUAAUGAUGUGAUCCCACUGAGCAAAUGAUAACUCAUAUCCAUGGUUAGGAAACUCAACCAUCUUUGAUCAAUGAGCUAGUCAAGUAGAGGCAUACUAGUGACACUAUGUUUGUCUAUGUAUUCACACAUGUAUUAUGUUUCCGGUUAAUACAGUUCUAGCAUGAAUAAUAAACAUUUAUCAUGAUAUGAGGAAAUAAAUAAUAACUUUAUUAUUGGCUCUAGGGCAUAUUUCCUUCAGUCUCCCACUUGCACUAGAGUCAAUAAUCUAGAUUACACAGUAAUGAUUCUAACACCCAUGGAGCCUUGGUGUUGAUCAUGUUUUGCUCGUGGAAGAGGCUUAGUCAACGGGUCUGCAACAUUCAGAUUCGUAUGUAUCUUGCAAAUCUCUAUGUCUCCCACCUGGACUUGGUCCCGGAUGGAAUUGAAGCGUCUCUUGAUGUGUUUGGUUCUCUUGUGAAAUCUGGAUUCCUUUGCCAAGGCAAUUGCACCAGUAUUAUCAUAAAAGAUUUUCAUUGGACCCGAUGCACUAGGUAUGACACCGAGAUCGGAUAUGAACUCCUUCAUCCAGACUCCUUCAUUUGCUGCUUCCGAAGCAGCUAUGUAUUCCGCUUCACAUGUAGAUCCCGCCACGACGCUUUGUUUAGAACUGCACCAACUGACAGCUCCACCGUUCAAUAUAAACACGUAUCCGGUUUGCGAUUUAGAAUCGUCCGGAUCAGUGUCAAAGCUUGCAUCGACGUAACCAUUUACGACUAGCUCUUUGUCACCUCCAUAAACGAGAAACAUAUCCUUAGUCCUUUUCAAGUAUAUCAGGAUGUUCUUGACCGCUGUCCAGUGAUCCACUCCUGGAUUACUUUGGUACCUCCCUGCUAAACUAAUAGCAAGGCACACAUCAGGUCUGGUACACAACAUUGCAUACAUGAUAGAGCCUAUUGCUGAAGCAUAGGGAACAUCUUUCAUUUUCUCUCUAUCUUCUGUAGUGGUCGGGCAUUGAAUCUGACUCAAUUUCACACCUUGUAUUACAGGCAAGAACCCUUUCUUUGCUCUAUCCAUUUUGAAAUUUUUCAAAAUUAUGUACUUUGUGAAAGUUCAAUUAAGCGUCUUGAUCUAUCUCUAUAGAUUUUGAUGCCCAAUAUAUAAGCAGCUUCACCGAAGUCUUUCAUUGAAAAACUUUUAUUCAAGUAUCCUUUUAUGCUAUCCAGAAAUUCUAUAUCAUUUCCAAUCAACAAUAUGUCGUCCACAUAUAAUAUUAGAAAUGCUACAGAGCUCCCACUCACUUUCUUGUAAAUACAGGCUUCUCCAAAAGUCUAUAUAAAACCAUAUACUUUGAUCACACUAUCAAAGUGUUUAUUCUAACUCCGAGAGGCUUGCACCAGUCCAUAAAUGGAUCGCUAGAGCUUGCACACUUUGUUACCACCUUUUGGAUCGACAAAACAUUCUGGUUGCAUCAUAUACAACUCUUCUUCCAGAAAUCCAUUCAGGAAUGCAGUUUUGACAUCCAUUUGCCAAAUUUCAUAAUCAUAAAAUGUAGCAAUUGCUAACAUGAUUCGGACAGACUUAAGCAUCGCUACGGGUGAGAAAGACUCAUUAGUCAACCCCUUGAACUUGUUGAAAACCUUUCGCAACAAGUCGAGCUUUGUAGACAGUAACAUUACCAUCAGCGUCAGUCUUCUUCUUGAAGAUCCAUAUUCUCAAUGGCUUGCCGAUCAUCGGGCAAGUCAACCAAAGUCCAUACUUUGUUCUCAUACAUGGAUCCCAUCUCAGAUUUCAUGGCCUUAAGCCAUUUUGCGGAAUCUGGGCUCAUCAUCGCUUUCUCAUAGUUCGUAGGUUCGCCAUGGUCAAGUAACAUUACCUCCAGAAUAGGAUUACCGUACCACUCUGGUGCUGAUCUUACUCUGGUUGACCUACGAGGUUCGGUAGUAACUUGAUCUGAGUUUUCAUGAUCAAUAUCAUUAGCUUCCUCACUAAUUGGUGUAGUCAUCACAGGAACCGGUUUCUGUGAUGAACUAUUUUCCAAUAAGGGAGCAGGUACAGUUACCUCAUCAAGUUUUACUUUCCUCCCACUCACUUCUUUCGAGAGAAACUCCUUCUCUAGAAAGGAUCCAUUCUUGGCAACGAAUGUCUUGCCUUCGGAUCUGUGAUAGAAGGUGUACCCAACAGUUUCCUUUGGGUAUCCUAUGAAGACACAUUUCUCCGAUUUGGGUUCGAGCUUAUCAUGUUGAAGCUUUUUCACAUAAGCUUCACAGCCCCAAACUUUAAGAAACGACAACUUUGGUUUCUUGCCAAACCACAAUUCAUAAGGCGUCGUCUCAACGGAUUUUCAUGGUGCCCUAUUUAACGUGAAUGCAGCCGUCUCUAAAGCAUAACCCCAAAAUGAUAGCGAUAAAUCAGUAAGAGACAUCAUAGAUCACACCAUAUCUAGUAAAGUACGAUUAUGACGUUUGGACACACCAUUAUGCUGUGGUGUUCCGGGUGGCGUGAGUUGCGAAACUAUUCUGCAUUGUUUCAAAUGUAGACCAAACUCGUAACUCAAAUAUUCUCCUCCACGAUCAGAUCAUAGAAACUUUAUUUUCUUGUUACGAUGAUUUUUAACUUCACUCUGAAAUUCUUUGAACUUUUCAAAUGUUUCAGACUUAUGUUUCAUUAAUUAGAUAUAUCCAUAUCUGCUUAAAUCAUCUGUGAAGGUGAGAAAAUAACGAUACUCUCCGCGAACCUCAACAUUCAUUGGACCACAUACAUCAGUAUGUAUGAUCUCCAACAAAUCAGUUGCUCGUUCCAUAGUUCCGGAGAACGGCGUAUUAGUCAUCUUGCCCAUGAGGCAUGGUUCGCAAGUACCAAGUGAUUCAUAAUCAAGUGAUUCCAAAAGUCCAUCAGUAUGGAGUUUCUUCAUGCGCUUUACACAGAUAUGACUCAAACGGCAAUGCCACAAAUAAGUUGCACUAUCAUUAUCAACUCUGCAUCUUUUGGCUUCAACAUUAUGAAUAUGUGUAUCACUACUAUCGAGAUUCAUCAAAAAUAGACCACUCUUCAAGGGUGCAUGACCAUAAAAGAUAUUACUCAUAUAAAUAGAACAACCAUUAUUCUCAGAUUUAAAUGAAUAAUAGUCUCGCAUCAAACAAGAUCCAGAUAUAAUGUUCAUGCUCAAAGCUGGCACCAAAAAACAAUUAUUUAGGUCUAAAACUAAUCCCGAAGGUAGAUGUAGAGGUAGCGUGCCAACGGCGAUCACGUCAACUUUGGAACCAUUUCCCACGCGCAUCGUCACCUCGUCCUUAGCCAGUGUUCGCUUAAUCCAUAGUCCCUGUUUUGAGUUGCAAAUAUUAGCAACAAAACCAGUAUCAAAUACCCAGGUGCUACCGUGAGCUCUGGUAAGGUAGACAUCAAUAACAUGUAUAUCACAUAUACCUUUGUUCACCUUGCCAUCCUUCUUAUCCGCCAAAUACUUGGGGCAGUCCCGUUUCCAGUGACCAGUCUGCUUGCAGUAGAAGCACUCGGUCUCAGGCUUAGGUCAAGACUUGGGUUUCUUCUCUUGAGCAGCAGCUUGUUUGAUGUUCUUUUUGAAGUUCCCCUUCUUCUUCCCUUUGCCCUUUUUCUUGAAACUGGUGGUCUUAUUGACCAUCAACACUUGAUGCUCCUUCUUGAUUUCUACCUCUGUAGCCUUUAGCAUUGCGAAGAGCUCGAGAAUUGUCUUAUCCAUCCCUUGCAGGUUAUAGUUCAUCAUGAAGCUCUUGUAGCUUGGUGGCAAUGAUUGAAGAAUUCUGUCAAUGACGCUAUCAUCCGGAAGAUUAACUCCCAGUUGAAUCAAAUGAUUGUUAUACCCAAACAUUCUAAGUAUAUGCUCACUGAGAGAACUAUUCUCCUCCAUCUUGCAGCUGUAGAACUUAUUGGAGACUUCAUAUCUCUUCAUCCGGGCAUUUGCUUGAAAUAUUAACUUCAACUCCUAGAACAUCUCAUAUGCUCCAUGAUGUUCAAAACGUCGUUGAAGUCCCGGUUCUAAGACGUAAAGUAUGGCACAUUGAACUAUUGAGUAGUCAUCAACUUUGCUUUGCCAGACGUUCUUAACGUCAUCAGUUGCAUCUGCAGCAGGCCUGGCGCCCAUCGGUGCUUCCAGGACGUAAUUUUUCUAUGCAGCAAUGAGGAUAAUCCUCAAGUUAUGGACCCAGUCCGUGUAAUUGCUACCAUCAUCUUUCAACUUUGCUUUCUCAAGGAACGCAUUAAAAUUAAAUGGAACAACAUCACGAGCCAUCUAUCUACAACAACAUAGACAUGCAAAAUACUAUCAGGUACUAAGUUCAUGAUAAAUUUAAGUUCAAUUAAUCAUAUUACUUAAGAUUUCCCACUUAGAUAGACAUCCCUCUAAUCAUCUAAGUGAUCACGUGAUCCAAAUCAACUAAACCAUAACCGAUCAUCACGUGAAAUGGAGUAGUUUUCAAUGGUGAAUAUCACUAUGUUGAUCAUAUCUACUAUAUGAUUCACGCUCGACCUUUCGGUCUCAGUGUUUCGAGGCCAUAUCUGCAUAUGCUAGGCUCGUCAAGUUUAACCUGAGUAUUCUUUGUGUGCAAAACUGACUUGCACCCGUUGUAGAUGGACGUAGAGCUUAUCACACCCGAUCAUCAUGUGGUGUCUGGGCACGACGAACUUUGGCAACGGUGCAUACUUAGGGAGAACACUUUUAUCUUGAAAUUUAGUGAGAGAUCAUCUUAUAAUGCUACCGUCAAUCAAAGCAAGAUAAGAUGCAUAAAAGAUAAACAUCACAUGCAAUCAAUAUAAGUGAUAUGACAUGGCCAUCAUCAUCUUGUGCUUGCGAUCUCCAUCUCUGAAGCACCGUCAUGAUCACCAUCUUCACCGGCGCGACACCUUGAUCUCCAUCGUAGAAUCGUUGUCGUCUCGCCAACUAUUGCUUCUACGACUAUCGCUACCGCUUAGUGAUAAAGUAAAGAAAUUACAAGGCAAUUGCAUUGCAUACAAUAAAGCGACAACCAUAUGGCUCCUGCCAGUUGCCGAUAACUUGGUUACAAAACAUGAUCAUCUCAUACAAUAAAAUAUAGCAUCAUGCCUUGACCAUAUCACAUCACAACAUGCCCUGCAAAAACAAGUUAGACGUCCUCUACUUUGUUGUUGCAAGUUUUACGUGGCUGCUACGGGCUGAGCAAGAACCGUUCUUAUCUAGACAUCAAAACCACAACGAUAGUUCGUCAAGUUAGUGUUGUUUUAACCUUCUCAAGGACCGGGCGUAGCCACACUCGGUUCAACUAAAGUUGGAGAAACUGACACCCGCCAGCCACCUGUGUGCAAAGCACGUCGGUAGAACCAGUCUCGCGUAAGCGUACGUGUAAUGUCGGUUCGGACCGCUUCAUCCAACAAUACCGCCGAACCAAAGUAUGACAUGCUGGUAAGCAGUAUGACUUGUAUCGCCCACAACUCACUUGUGUUCUACUCGUGCAUAUAACAUCUACGCAUAAACCUGGCUCGGAUGCCACUGUUGGGGAACGUAGUAAUUUCAAAAAAUUUCCUACGCACACAUAAGAUCAUGGUGAUGUAUAGCAACGAGAGGGGAGUGUGUGUCCACGUACCCUCAUAGACCGAAAGCGGAAGCGUUAUCACAACACGAUUGAUGUAGUCGUACGUCUUCUCGAUCCGACCGAUCAAGUACCGAACGUACGACACCUCCGAGUUCAGCACACAUUCAGCUCGAUGACGUCCCUCGAACUCCGACCCAGCCGAGCUUUGAGGGAGAGUUCCGUCAGCAUGACGACAUGGUGACGAUGAUGAUGUUCUACCGACGAAGGGCUUCGCCUAAGCACCGCUACUAUAUUAUCGAGGUGGAUUAUGGUGGAGGGGUGUGACGCCCGGAUAAUCAAGCUACAGUAACCUCUAAUAAUGAUACCACGUCACAACGGUUACUGUUGUUAAUCUCGUGAUGAUUCAAAUCCUGUUCAUUUUUAAAAUUCAAAAUCAAGCUAAACAAUAAAAGUUUUUAAAUGUCAAAACUAAAAUGUUCGAAUAAUUCUGUAAAUCCCCCUGAUCGUUGUCAUGUUGAAACCAACUUCAUUUGACUCACCAAUAGAUUCCUAGUAAAUUAAUGAGUGGUCCUACAACAAAUACCCUGGCCUUUUCAAAACAAAUAAAGUUUAUGAAUUUAAAAUUUGACUUGAAACUUUGUGGGUCUCUCUAGAGUAAUGACAUAUACUUAUGUGUGGAGUUCCAUCUAAAACAAGGAUUGUUUGCUCACUCAAAUAAAUGCAAACAAUAGCUAUUUAUUUGACAAAAAAAUGAGAGAACAAAAAGCCUACCUAAUGUGUAAUUGGGCCUAAGUCUACUGGGAGGCCCAACCCACACCCCACUCAUCUCCCCCCUCGCUACAGGAGCAGAGAAGGGGAUCGAUCGUGGCGGCCAUCUGUAGGCCAUGGCCGCGCCAUGCCUUGCGUGUCGGCCAUCCGACACACCCGGCGCCCUACAAAAAGCCGUUGACCCUCCCCCUCUGUCGAACCCUAGUUGUUUCCCCCCUCUUCCUCGCCUCUCCCUCGCUCUGGAUCGAUCUACUAGCCACGUACAGGAGCACGCCGCCGCGAACCACCAUGGCCUUUGGCGCCAGUUCGCCGUCCGCUGGUGUCGAGGAGGACCGCCGUCCUCGUCUACGGUGGCUUCGGGGCCAGAUCGAGCCGGGGGAGCCGCCCCAUCGUCGCCACCGUCUUCGUCUUCACCGUUGGUCGCCGAAGCUCGUUGUCAUCGAUUCGCCAUCAUCAGUGCCUCCCCGAGCCCACUGACCUGCCCUACCAGAUCUUCGUGAGCCCCUCCUCCAAUCCCCCUUCUUCCCACAUGCGCGUGCUGUCGCCCGAGGUCGUACUCGGCUCGUCCGCGCGUGCGCGCUCGUCUGCGUACUGCUGCGUAGCUGCUGCUUCCCCACAGCCUCGCACCUGGCCUCGCACCUGCCCCUGUGCAGUGCCUGCUCGCCUCGCGCCGCCUCCUCUGUCGCCCCACCGCGUCGCCGGCGAUCCCCAUGGCUACCUCCGGCGUCCAGCGCCAGCGGCCUGGCGCGUUCGCCUCUGUCGUGGCCGUUUGAGCGGGCGUCCACGCCAGCCCCGUGAUGUCCUUCGCCCGCUAGGCUCCUGGGGUUAUGACAGCGGGGCCCAUGCCCCUGUUUUUUAAAAGAAAUGUAAAAAAAUAUAUUUGUAAUAAAAAUAAUUAGUUAAUUAGUUAAAUAGUUAAUUAACUUAAUUAGUUAAACUUAAUUAGCCUAACCACCUAGUUUAGUUAACUAAACUGUUAGAGUAAACUAAAUGAGUCAAUGAUAGGGGGGUCCCACCCCUGUUGACCAGUCAAACGUUGACUGGUCAACUGGGUCCCCCCUGGCCCACUGUCAGCCACUGGGUACACUUUUGUGUACCCUGUGCUGGGUGCGCCUAGCAAUUUAGCAUUUAUUUUCGAAUUAAAAAUAAUUUUAGAAUAAAUUUAAAACUUUGAAAAAUCAUAGAAAAUUAACCAUAGCUCGGAUCAAAAAGCUUUGUACAUGAAAGUUGCUCAGAACGACGAGACGAAUCCAAAUACGUGGUCUGUUCGCCCGCCACACAUCCUUAGCAUAGCGAACAUGCAACCUUUCUCCUCCGGUUCAUCUGUCUGACAGACGUCCGGAACCGGGAAAACUUUCCCGGAUGUCUCCCCCUUCGCCAGUAUCGCCUAUCACUGCGUUAGAACACCUCUAGCUUCGCUUUAUGUCAUGUUAUGCAUAUGUCCGCGUGUAUUUACUGUUUCUUCCCCUUCUUCUCUCUGGUAGACCUUGAGACCGCUGCUGAUGCCACUGUGAUCGACUACGUCGACGACGACCCUCCUUCUUGUCUGAGCAACCAAGCAAGCCCCCCCUUUGAUCAUCCUGAUAUCACCCAUUCUAUACUCUCAUGCUUGCAUUAGAUUUGGCUACUGUUAUUGUUUGCUCCUAUUCUGAUGCAUAGCCUGCUUUUGUACCUGCUAUUGUUACCUACCUGCUUAUCCUAAACUGCUUAGUAUAGGUUGGCUAGUGAUCCAUCAGUGACCUCCCCACUUGUCCUUGUUGCCCCUGCUUCAUCAUCGACGCCUCGAUCGACGUGAUCGACGACCAGAGCCCGACACCUCACAUCACCUCACGCCCCUUUAGUUGCUCAACUUUGCAGAGCUACUAUCGAGUGUCAAGGGUGAUCCCUCAUAACGCACUCCUGAUGAUAAUUCUGUAGUGUAGCUAUUCAGUCGUGGUCAUCGAGGGUGAUUUCCUCUUUCACCGUUCCCGAUACGGCUCUGUCGUUCAACACCUCAAGUGUGAACCUCGGGGGUGGUCCCUCUUACGUUCACCUUGAUGAUUACAUUGAGUGGAAUCCACCGGGGGUGAUUCCUUGGGUUUUCCCCUUGAUGUUUGGACACACGGUUACCUUGACUUUACUUGAGACCUUGGUGAAAGUCGGGCGAGCCCGGAGAGCACCCGCAAGAUAAUGACGUGGCACGGCCGGGCAUUCUGAGCCCUUGUCGUAAGUCCACGAGACGGGGCGACGGGGUCACUUUUGAUCGUGAGUCUCUGCUCGUCUCCGCAAGCUAAUAAUACACUAUGGUUUGGGUAUUUGUUCCGAGUUGGCCUCUGGCCUUUACGCACUAACCACCACGCGAGAAUAGAUAUGGGCCUCGACGUCGCAUUAUCAGUCGAAGCUUUGUUAGACGUCCAGUUCAACAUUGUGGCACGGUCGGAUCGUGCUGGCCAUCCGAGGCGGUGCUGGUAUCCACCCUGCACACAACGACCCGGAGUGCUGCGGGCGAUGGGCCCAAGACCCCGGAGUGCUUAGAUGUAGACCGGUGGGGACCUCUCUGCUGAGCCUAGGUAGGGUUGCGACGUGUUGAUCUUCCGAGGGCGGGCAUUGACCCCAUAAAGGUGUGUCCGGCCAGAUUGAUCGAGCGUGUUGGGUAACGUGGUGCACCCCUGCAGGGAAGAUUAUCUAUUAAUAGUCGUGUCCACGGUAACGGAAGUUCAGACUUAUAUCCUGAUCUUAUACAACUACAAAUGGAUACUUGAGAUAUGUGGCUUCGGGAUUGCUUUCUCGCAGGGAGUCGAGGAAGGAUCUCUGGGCAUUAAUGUUACAACAUGUUUGUUAAAUAUUAAACUGCUAUUCUUUACUCUUCUACAUGCUGCAAGAUGCUCGGAGCUGCGUGAAGAUGCUAGUCUUCGAUAGGCUAGGCCUUCCCCCUCUAUUCUGGCAUUCUGCAGUUCAGUCCACAGAUACAACCCUUCCAUUUGAUACCAAUGCAUACUUAGUAUAGAUCUGAUGCUUGCGAGUACUUUGGAUGAGUACUCAUGGUUGCUUUGCCACCCCUUUUCCCCCUUCUUUCUUUCCUUUCCGGUUGAUGCAACCAGAUGGUGGAUCCUUGGAGCCAGAUGCCACCGCCGAUGGAUGUUACUACGUGAAGACCGCCGACGACCAGGAGUAGUUAGGAUGUCCCAGGCAGGAGGCCUUGCCUCUUCGAUCGUGUUGCUUUUAUGCUAGCCUUCUUAAGGCAGUCUUGUUUAACUUAUGUCUGUACUCAGAUAUUGUUGCUUCCGCUGACUCUUGUGUAUCGAGCUUGUAUUCGAGCCCUCGAGGCCCCUGGCUUGUAAUAUAAAGCUCAUAUUAUUUUAUUUGUGUCUAGAGUUGUGUUGUGAUAUCUUCCCGUGAGUCCCUGAUCUUGAUCGUACACAUUUGCGUGUAUGACUAGUGUACGAUUGAAUCGGGGGCGUCACAAGGGGGGCACCGCACACGGCUAAGAGAUCGGAUCAAUUGUUGUGUCUCCAAGGGGUGCCUCCCUCCCCGUAUAUAAAGGAGUGGAGGAGGGGGAGGGGGCCGGCCACCCUAGGCGCGCCCCAUGAGGAGUCCUACUCCCACCGGGAGUAGGACUUCCCCCUUCCAAGUGGGAGUAGGUGAGGAGAGGGAAGGAGAGAGAGGCGGAAAGGAAAGGGGGGCGCCGCCCCCCUCCUUGUCCUAUUCGGACUGGGGGGGGGGGAAGGGGACACGCGGCUGCCCUUGGCCGCCCCUCCUCUUCUCCACUAGGGCCCAAUAGGCCCAUUAGUCUCCCCGGGGGGUUUCGAUAACCCCCCAAUACUCCGGUAUAUGCCCAAUACUCCCCGAAACCAUUCCGGUGUCCGAACAUAGUCGUCCAAUAUAUCAAUCUUUAUGUCUCGACCAUUUCGAGACUCCUCGUCAUGUCCGUGAUCACAUCCGGGACUCCGAACUACCUUCGGUACAUCAAAACAUAUAAACUCAUAAUAUAACCGUCAUCUAACUUUAAGCGUGCGGACCCUACGGGUUCGAGAACUAUGUAGAUAUGACCGAGACACGUCUCCGGUCAAUAACCAAUAGCGAAACCUGGAUGCUCAUAUUGGCUCCCACAUAUUCUACGAAGAUCUUUAUCGGUCAACCGCAUAACAACAUACGUUGUUCCCUUUGUCAUCGGUAUGUUACUUGCCCGAGAUUCGACCGUCGGUAUCUCAAUACCUAGUUCAAUCUCGUUACCGGCAUGUCUCUUUACUCGUUAUGUAAUGCAUCAUCCCGUAACUAACUCAUUAGCUACAUUUCUUGCAAGGCUUAUAGUGAUGUGCAUUACCGAGAGGGCCCAGAGAUACCUCUCCGACGAUCGGAGUGACAAAUGCUAAUCUCGAAAUACGUCAACUCAACAAGUACUUUCGGAGACACCUGUAGAGCACCUUUAUAAUCACCCAGUUACGUUGUGAUGUUUGGUAGCACACAAAGUGUUCCUCCGAUAAGCGGGAGUUACAUAAUCUCAUAGUCAUAGGAACAUGUAUAAGUCAUGAAGAAAGCAAUAACAACAUACUAAACGAUCAAGUGCUAAGCUAACGAAAUGGGUCAAGUCAAUCACAUCAUUCUCCUAAUGAUGUGAUCCCACUGAUCAAAUGAUAACUCAUAUCCAUGGUUAGGAAACUCAACCAUCUUUGAUCAAUGAGCUAGUCAAGUAGAGGCAUACUAGUGACACUAUGUUUGUCUAUGUAUUCAGACAUGUAUUAUGUUUCCGGUUAAUACAAUUCUAACAUGAAUAAUAAACAUUUAUCAUGAUAUGGGAAAAUAAAUAAUAACUUUAUUAUUGCCUCUAGGUUAUAUUUCCUUCAACAAAAGCAAUGUUAAUAAGUGAGAGAUUGUCCCAACUAAAUUCGCUAUAUUUUGUGUUCUCCUCUACAGUAGCAUGAUCAUGUAGUAUGAUCAGUGUGAAGAAAGAAAAAUGUUUCUGAAUUAUGGUGUGGGUCUUAAGAAAAUUAUGUGAAAAGAAUGUAAUAAGAACUGUAUAUAUAGGCACUGACGUAAGUUUUCUCAUUUUAAAUCUUUUCCUUUCAGGUCUGUUAAUCUAGAGAGGAUAUGUAUCCUUUUCUUCUAUAGCAUUGUCCACAUAGGAUUAGAAACAGUGCCUCAGAUCGAGUCGCGAGUGGAUUGUCCAUUCUGCCGAAGAACCGAACGAGAGACAAAAAGAGAGAAACAGAUCGCCCAGCCCCAGCCACCAUUCUCCAUUCCCCAGCCCCUGAUUCCUCCCCCUCGCCCUCUCCCUUGUCUGCCAAUAUUGACACAAACUACUAAUACCAUAGAAUGAUAUAUGAUCAUUAGGUGAAAUUCAUUAUCUUCCUGUAGUUUCUUUUCCUACACUGAACGAGAUAUCGGCACCACAAACACAAAUCAUGAUCCCAAGAGGCCAUCAAAGAGAUGAUAGGGGAUGACGCGCUAAAAUCAUACCUUUCAUGGGACCAAAAACUGGACGAAUAGUUAGAUCAGAUAGAAAAUGACAGCAUCCAUAAUAACCAAAUAAGUGCAUUUCUAUCAAAGAUAUAAACCUUUGGAUCUAAGUGUAGUCCAGAGAGAUGUCCCUCCUGAAACUGUGGAUGCAAUGAAGAGGAAUGUUUUAGGCAUAUUGGGUCUGCUUCCGUCUGAUCAGUGAGAGGGAGACCCCUGGCCUGGUGUACUGAGAGGGUGAAGGGUGAGUCCAUACAGGCCAAUCUCCUUACCGUCUGUUUAGGAAGACAACUUGAUUACCAUAUCCGUUGAAAAGGUUUUGAAGCAUCAGGAGGAUUUUCAAUAAGUUUAAGAUAUAUUCUUUUAUUUGAGUAUCUAUUGCUAGACCAGUAGGACUGCCAUGUAUCUUUGCCGCUGUUGAUGGGCUGGCAACGGAUGGUUUCCAGCUAGGAAUUCUAAGUUAUUUGGUUUACGCUAAUAGAUUAGCACACCUGUGAUUUCCAGCUAAAAUGGGUUGGCACCGGAUCUUUUCUAGCUAAGAAUUCUAAGUUACUUAUUUUGUUUUACAAUAGUAGAUUUGUUUUUAUUCAAUGCAUUUAUUUCAAAUAAUUAGCACACCUACAAUUUCCAGCUAAAAAUGGGCUGGCACUGAAUGUAUUUCCAGCUAAGAAUACCAAGUUAUUUGCUUUUACACCAGUGGAUUACUACUUUUUAUUUGCUGCAUUUAUUUCAAAAUGAUUAGCACAAUUAUAUCACGACUCUUCUAUUGGAUGCACUGCCAAUGUUAGCCUUCCAGAAAAAUCAGCUGUAAUUACGAAUUAAAACUUGCUAAAUAUAUGCAAAUACUAGAUUGGAGUACUAUUCCGUCAAUCAGGCGCCGUUGGAUAGCUUCCCGAGCUGGAGUGUUCCCAUCCCGGCCGUCUAGUCAACACUCCCCUCUGGCUUCUCGCAAGAUAUUCGGCUGUCAAAAGAAAACUUCAGAUUUAGACGAGGCGCCUCUUCGUCCGUUUCCAUUCGCUGCCAACCCACACACAAAGCCCCAACCAUGCCACCACGGCCACGCGCUCCAAGCUCCGGCGCCAACUCCAUCGCCGCUGAGAUGGGCGCCCAGGGAAUCCCUGCCCGGGGCGGCUCCCCUCCCCCUCCCGUCACCACCAAGCACGACGCGUCUGGCGCUGGCGAAGCCCAAAGCUGCCCCGUCCGCUCCCCGGCCUCGGAAGGAAGCGACCGCUCGGUGGAGGAGAAGAACUCCCCAGGGGAAAUCCCUUGGUACGAUAAAUUGGAGGACAUAGAUGAGGAGUACCGCAAGUACUUGAGUUGCGUGCGCUUUGUGAAUGGCCACCAAAUAGUGGUCGUGCCGGAAGGCGGGCUGGAAGCGGUGCCGGCUCGAGUUGUUGACAAGUCUAAUGGGGCAGGGAAGAAGGAUGGGGAGGAAGCGGCUGCUCAUGCUGCUUCGGGGGAGAAGGGCAGCAGCGUUGGGAGCAAGGAGAAGCGGAAGGGGAAGGGAAAGGUGGCGGCGAUCACCACGAGUGGGAAAUCUCGUGUGCGCGAUUACGACCCUGCGCAUCGGCAAAAAGUGUUGGUGAUGGACCGCAAGGUUACACGAUACGGGCAGGACGAGGUGUCGGUUCCAGUUGGUGACAAGUCUGAUGGGGCAGGGAAGAAGGAUGGGGUGGAAGCGGCUUCCCGUGCUACUUCACGGAAGAACGGCUGCGGCGUUGGGAAGAAGGAGAAGGGAAAGAGGAAGGUGGCGGCGAUCACCAUGGGCGGGCCUGCGCUGAAGUCUCGUGUGGCCGAUUCCAGUGCGCAUCCGCAAAAGGUAAAAUCGUUUCUCCCCUCUCGAGUUAAAUAUGUGUCGCGUUUCUAAGGCAGAAUAUACGCUUGUUAUAUAUACAUGUGCGAACAGGGUCAGAAGGAGAAGAAUAAGGAACGGAAAAAUGAUGCUAAGAAGAUGAAGGUGGCGGCGGAACCGCAUCCGGAAACACUGAACACUGCUUCGGUAAGAAUUCCCUAUGCCUUUAAAAUUUUUUCUCCCGAACUGCACCGUGUCUUAGUACUAGAGAUGUGGUUUGUGGUUUGUCUUUGUGGUUAUGGGUAGAUAUGCCACAUAAGAGUCUACAAGUAUGCGAGUGCCCGGCUGGAUUAAGAGGUAUUGGUUGUGUUUUAGCUGACAUUAGGCUUCGAUUUGACAAGUAGAAAACUGGAGCAGUUUGUCUAAUUCACAUGUAGAUGUUUUUUAAGGAUGUCACAUCUAAGCUCCCAUAAAUAUAUAACGCAGCAACAAGAAACAAAAAAAAAACUAGGACAAAAAAAGACCACAAACAAAGUGUACAUCAGCUUAGAUGUGACAUAACUAAGUCACAUCUAGAUGUGUCCUAAACAGACCCAAAGGUGUUAUUGCUAGAUUUGCCUACUGAUGCUGCUGCGAAAGGUGUCAUCACAUGGCUGCCAUUGGCAUUUUUGGGUGCCAAAAAAAAUAUCCUAGAGUGCAUUGCAAGUGAAGGGAUGCUUUUUUCUUUGGAAAAUUCACCCGUACAAAUUCUAAACUGAAUCGCUGUGAUGGCGCCAGAAAAGAAUUCUGAACUGAAGGUAAAAUGAUGUUACCCUGAAAAUUCUGAACUGAAUCCAUGUCGUUGUUGUGGUUUUAGCUGUUUUCGGUGUGCCGUCAAAAGUCUGCUUCUAGAAUGUGAGGUCAAGGGGAAUUUGCACCUACUAGAACUCUGUGCGGAAACAGCGAUAAAUAGUGAGCACCCAUUUUUGUAGAAAACAAUUUCAGUCUACACAACGUAAAUAUCAUAGUCAUCUAGGUAGUAUCAAGAGCUGGCUAAGCAAGGGCUGCCGCAAAGCCAACGGACAACCACAACAUUUCUUCUGACUGUAAAAAGCCGGCACCAAUUCCCCUUUGAUCUCACAGUUCUAGCAGCAGAUGGUCACUGGUAUAUUUGUCAGCAAUUAAUCUGGGGGUCGCUGGUAUCAAUAUAUUAAAAGUACAGACACUUAUGGAGUAUACCUUGUCUCAGCAAGUAGCCCAUUUAGGAUUUAAGAAUGUACUAAGGAGGAGAUGCAUUUCAAACUAAAACAAAAAGAUUUUUUUGCUAAAUAUAAUAUAUAUUUUUUGGAGAAGGGGAAGGAGAAGGUGGUGGUGAUCACCACGGGUGAGCCUGCGCUGAAAUCUCGUGUGCACGAUUCCACUACGCAUCCGCAAAAGGUAAAAUCAUUUCGGUUUCCCCUCUCCAGUUAAAUAUGAUGUCGUGUGCCUAAAGCAGAGCAAGCACAUGUUACAUACACAUGUGCAAACAGAUUCAGAAGGAGAAGAAUGGACGCAAAAAUGGUUCUAAGAAGAUGAAGGUGGUGGAGGAAGAAGGGAAGCCGUCGAAGGAGCUGCCUGUGGAAACACUGAAUAUUGUGAAGAGGAAAAGGAAAUCAAAUAAUGUACAAAAUGCCGAGUCUCGUACUGCUUCGGUGAGAAUUUCCUAUGCAUUUUUUUUCAGCCAGAAUUUCCUAUGCAUUUUUUUUCAGCCUGCACUAUUUGUUAGUAGAUGUAGAUAUGUGGUUUAUAAAUUUAUAUAUGUGGUUGUUGGUAGAUGUAUCUUGUACCACAUAAUAGUCGAUCAAUAUGUAUAUCUUGUACCAAUGUGCCUAGCUGAUAUUGAUGCUUCCUACAACAUGUCCGAAAACUACAAUACUGCAUUUUAAAUCACAUAAACAUGGAGCAUCAUUCACGGUCAAAGUUGAAUUUUGGAUUGCGCGUGGGCCUUAUUCAUUGGAACAAAGGGAGAACUAAAGAAGAGAGAUGCAUUUCAAACUAAAACUAAAUGAAAAUUAUUUGCCUAAAUAGAAUUCAUUUGACUAUUUUUUUCUACUUUGUAUUUUUCUCCUCUUAAACGUAAUAUCAACACAUGAUAACUCUUUAAAGCAAUAAAGAAAUAUUAGCAUCAAGGAUCUGUUUAAUGAUGUUUUCACUUGCUGCCUUUGGUGCAAGCGUGGAUCGUUGUUAUAUAUACCUCAAGAAAGUGAUCUAUGGAGGGAGGACUGGCACGAGCCAUGUCAUGCUUUGAGCUGCCUCAAAUAAAUAUCAUGCAACUAUAUUUGUGCUGAUUUGGAUGGAGCAAAAUACUCUCUAUUAUCCUAGUAAACAUAUUAAACUCAUGGUGCUUUGCUUCUUUCGGCACACUUUGACUAGGCACAUAGGGCAAGUAGAAUUUUUUAGACGAAUCAAAAACUAGAGUUGUGUUUCUGAUGGAAUUCUAAAACAUUACAUGUUCGCUUCUAACCAAUCUACAUUUUUAUGACAUAGUCGUGUGGUUUCCUUUUUCUUCUCUCAAAGUUUCAAGUAAUGAAUUAAUAUGUGAUCCUGAUUUUUGUCGCACUUCCAGACUGGCAACAACAGAAAGCCACAACUUCGGAGAUCUGCUCGACUUAUGCUCAGUCCGCCUGAAAAUGAUCAUAAGUAGACUUUAGAGUAACGUCUAUUUUGGGAGAAUCAAAAUAGAUUGCUUUAUUCAAAAUACUUUCCUUUAUCUUGUUGUUUGGAAUUCUUCGGAUACAUACCAUGGAUAUGUUGGUUCUUGAAUUUUACAAGCGCCUAGUCAGACUAUCUAGUAGUCUAUUGGAUAUGGUAGGUUUUUCGAGUAAUUGGCAAUGCUGUCGCCUUUCAAUUACAAGAACAUGGUUAUUUUACAACUGCUUUUACAAGCGACUAUUUUGGGAAGUAUAGUUGAGGCAGGUGCACUAUUCGUGAAGGAGGCAACUACAAGAAUUGUGCACGGAUAUCUGCUAGGGCUAGGUGCGCCACAACCUGAUAAAUCAUUCCCUGUCCAUCGAAAACCCGGCGAUUCCUCUUUUUCCAGGCAUUCCAUAGGGUGUAGAUCAAAUUCUUGUUUUGCACCUUCAAACUUUGCUCCCAAGGGAUAGCCAGGUAUUCCUCCCACAAAUUGUUGACAGAUUGAUUAGGGUUUUUUGUCAUCAUCAGGGACACAUGGCAGUCUUGACAUUCACCGCCUUCCAUACGUCCUUUGAGAAGGGACAAUCCUUGUAAAGGUGGCACGGUGUCUCAUUGGUCGCUAAGCAUAAGUGAAACCGGGCUAUGGGGCAAAUCCUAUUUGCUAGAUCCGCCGUCAUCAGGAUUCUACCAUGCAACACGAGCCAAGUAGAAAGCUUGCAUUUGGGAGUGGUUGUUUCCUUCCAAACCUUCCCAAUACGAAAAGGCUGCACAUGGCCAAGGGUAUCUUAUACACAAAUUUAGUCAAGAAUUCAUCUGAGGCCAUCCAUACGCAGUUGCGUCGGGGUGUUAAGGCCUACGACAACUGUUAUCCACUUAUCCCCUGGAGACCCUGGUUCAUCGUCCUGAUCUUCCUAGUUGCAAUCUUGAAAAGCUCUGGGGCACGGUGCAAAGUGCGGAAUACCCAAUACAGUAAUCUUUUCAAAAACUUGUCUACACGCCAUCGCAAACAGUGAUUGUGGUAGAGGCAUGAAAUGGAUCCAUGUCUGAGUCACUGCAAGGCAGGUUCGAACCGACCCAAGGGCGCUCCGGGUUGUUCCAUUGGAACCAAGGCUAGCGCAGGCCCAAGGCUCCGCCGAAGCGGUCAAGGUCAGCAUAACAUGGGUUGUUGGCAUGCAUACAUGGAUGGGUAUGUUGAUGAUAAUCAUGCUUACAUAAUUGUACAAAACUACGUACAAUGCAUUGAAAAUGAACUUUCAUGUCCUAGUGAUAAACCCUAGCUUUACUAUUUGAUUAACCUAUCAACACACAUACAUGAACUUAUCGCAGUCGCUUGCUUCUUAUGCAAGCUAAAGCUGUCAUGGAUACAAAGGAUGGCUUAUACUUGUGCUUACGUGCUCACUAACUCCAAUGUGGGUAGGAUCUGAUCUGUAAACAUUGUCAUGGGGCCAUCAUGAGCGGUGGUUAUGUGUGGUCCUCUAGGUAGGCUUAGUUACGUAGUUCAAAAGCUCCUUGGUUGAUUCUUUCGAGGGGGCCCUUUUCCAAAUAAAGAUGCUGUUUAGUUUGAAGUCAAAGAUUGUUUAGUUAUGGCCUCAUUUAGCAGAACUAGCUAGUAUUUAACAUAUACCAAGUUUUUGUAUGAUCGUGCUAGCGAUCUCAUACACUUCAUUGUUCAUACCUUUUUUGGGGCGAAAUGAUGCUUCACAACUCUAUGUCCAUAUUAUGAUUGUACCAAUGUUGGCAUUAAUAUGCAUGGCCAAAUCGGAACAACUUGAGAGUGGGUCCUUGACAAUUGCUACUUCCACAUAUUAGGGGGAUAAAACUACAAUGUUGAUAGAAACACAUCCUAAGUCCAUACCAUAAUGCACCAUAGACAAAGGAACAUAUUAAUUUUAGGCAUAUGAAAUAAGUAAUUUCCCAAUCCUCCAUGUACUUUGAUAUAAUUCCGGUACACUCUAUGCUCGCUCUUGAAUUCCCUUCGAAAACUUGGGUGGCACUAAACAGAAUUUGUUGAAACUUCUUCUGGUGUGGGAAGAAGGAUGCGAGUGGUGGUAGUUGUGUAGUGUCUUGGGAGACAGUCUGCGCCCUGAGGUGUGUUAGUGGUCUGGGCAUCCCCAACCUGAGAUAGUUUAGCAUUGCCAUGCAAGCUCGAUGGCCUUGGUCACCAUGUGGAUCAAGGCAGACAUUGGGAGGAGUUUAAAAUCGCCAUACCGGAUGAAUCCCUAGCAAUAUUCGGAGCAACCACUCUGGCCACUACCAGUGAUGGGAGCACCACCUUUUCCAGGAAGAACAAUUGCUCGAUGGGAUGAGAAUGGAAGAUAUGGCACCCCACCUAUACUCCAAGGUUCCUCAGAGGUUAAAAUCUACUCGAAUGGUCAGGGCUGCCUUAUUGGACGCAACAAGAGCAUGAGAUGUGGGCCCCAACCUGGACUUGGCCAUGUUAUUAGAGUACUUGGCGGUAUGGCCAAGAGUGGCAGCGGUGCAGUUAGUUCCUGAGACUCCGGACACCAUCUCUUAGUCCUGGGAGAAGAAUGGUGAGAUCUGCUUAUGCCACUAAGUUUGCAGGGGGGGCGCCGUACUCAUAGCGGAAUUCACUUGGAAAUCCAAUGCGCCUUUGCAACGUCGCCUCUUCAUGCGGAUAGCCCCAAGGACCAGUAGUUAGACAUCCAACAGACUUAGCAGGGGAGGACUACCGCAUCAAGAUACAUGCCCGUUUGUGCUCAACAAGAUGGACAAUCAACCACAUUCUCCUGGACUCUGUUUUCGCGAGAACUGUCUGGUGGGAAAUCAGUAGAGCCCUAGGCAUGCCAAGGUAGGCAUUGUGGACAAACGACAUACUUGACAAAUGGUGCGUCAACAUGGUUGGUGUUGGGCACAAACCAAGAGACAUACGAGCCAUUCUCACCUUGACCAUGUGGGAACUAUGGAAGCACAUAAAUGCAAUUGUGUUUGAUGGAGCAACACCCUCGAUACAACAUGUGAUAAGUAGGAUGAUUACCGAGGGUCAAAUGUGGAGGCUGGCCGGUAUAUUAAAAGGAGAACUAGACCCCUACUUUGGGGCAUUGACUAGGUGGGUUCAGAGCGAGUAGUCCACUUUCAUGCUAAGGGUAAGGGUAGAUGUGGAGUGCAAAGCAUUGUAAGCAUAAUGUAGCGAUACCAUGGACAUGGAUGGGCCAUCUUGCUUUUCUUCUUUAAUACAUGAUACGCAUGCUUGUGCAUAUUCAAGAAAAAAAAUCCCGUUAAAUCUACCCAUAAAGUUGCACUUCCGUAAGAUGUCACUCUAAGGUACAAGAAAGUUACUGCACAACCCAAGUGUCAUAAACCCUAGCCCAGGAGAUAUAUAGUCAUUAUUCAUCUUGUGUCACUCAAAUUAUGCCAAUAUGUGUAAUGCUCACUAAAAGUAAUCCUAAAUAUGUACUAUAUGACUUGAAAACCUUCAUCAUUCCUUCCUAAAUCCCGUGUCUAGAAGGCCUAACUAGUAGUCAACUAUCUGGCAGGGUGGAGAUUUGACUCGAGUUCGAAAUAAUUGCAGUCACCCAAGUUUCAGUCUUUCGACCUCGUUGGGUACACAUCUUCUUAAUUACCGAGUACCAGAGCUCUGACCCAAUUGUCAACAUAGUAUAAAAUUAUAAUGUCAAUCUUGGAAAUGCCUCGUGGUAGAUUAGCUUUUGAUCCAUUCCCUAUUUGGUCUCAUAGGGUUCCUAGCAUGUCCUCUGCUGCCAAGUUAUGACUUGCUUAUACCAUUAUAUGUUUGCUAAGUUAUUUCCCAUGCUCCAUGGAGAAUUUAAGGCCACAACAACAAUCAUUUGGGGUGUGACAACAAAUAGGUUGUUUUUAUAAAAUUGAGACAACUUUGGAUAAAUUAUGACAAAUGUUUGACGAUGCACUAUUUAUGAGUGAAUAUACACAUAAAUGACAAAGAGUUCUCCGUUGAAUACGGAAAUCUGAACAUAUACUCCCACCAGAUACCUGCAACAUUACACUCACGUUAGGACUCAGCGCGAGUUUGCAAAGCCUAGCCCUAGCCCGUGUGAAUUCAGGAAUGGCAAAAAGGAAACAAGUUUUUCUGAUGGUAAAGACGAGCACUAACACUAACAUUGACAAAAUAAUGGAAAAUUAUCCAUACAUAGUACAUACCAUAGUAUGCAUAGCAUAUUUGCUGAAAAAGUGUAUAUGGUUCAGUUAACAAUAUUUGGGUUUAAAUGAUCCUUCAAAUAUUUCAUUAUAUUGGUGGUUUUAGUUAUUAUUAUGAGAGAUUUUUAAAUAAUAAUUCUCAUAUUCAGCAUACUCAUAAAUCGUGGUAAAUUCAUUGUUUCACAGGAAUUACAUGAUGUUUUUUUUUGGAAUACUUUGAAUUGCUUACCACAUGUGUCACAGGAAUUACAUGGUGUUGUAUGGCCAACCCAUAUCAUGGAGAGGCCAGAUUCUGAAUUCAAGGAAAAGUUGAUGCGUCUUCUCCGCAAACCAUUUAGCCAGGGAGAAUUUGAUACGCUGCUUGACAAGGCUAUGAUUCGCCCUCUGGCAACAAUGAAAAGGCAAACACGGGGUGGCGUGAAGUACUACAACUCUGAAAAUGAAAGGCAACCAUCAUAUUUUGAUGGUUACCCAGGUAUGCUUGCUUUUAUACUACGUACAUACUUUUUUUGUUCAUUGGACUUCUGUUAUGCACUAUUCCCCUUAUUAUUUUUAUGUUGAAACAUCUUUCUGGGAAUUAUUGCGACCACAUGGCUAAAGUAACUUUUAUGCACAAUGAUUAUAGGAUCAGAAUCAUUUUCCAUGCCUAAUGAACACUCUGCCUUGUUAUUUAAGAAACAAUUUGUGGUUGUCUUUGCUCGCGAUUGACAUUUCCUUUUGAACCUUGAAAUUUGCAAGCCAACAUUGUGUUUUUCGGUGAUAUAUUGGUUUACAAGCUUGUUAAAUCUAUGUCCAAAAUAUCUUGCUGACGGAUUGCUUGAAUCUAUGGUGAACAUACACUUUCUAUAGAUACACUUGAAACCCCUGUACGCUUAGGUAAUUAGCAGGACUUCGGAACAACAAGCAUUGUGGCAUUUUCAUAAUUGUAUUGCGCAAAUUUUCAUAUAAUUCUUAUUUUCAUCUUUGGUAAAAUACAAAGCUUGCAUCUCAAUAAAUUGAUAGAAGAAAAGUGGUUGUGGAGCAAUUACACAACACAACAUGUCGGCGCAGAAGUCCAGCUUUCCUGUGAGAGGAUUUUGGAGCAAUUUUGCCAAAUACCUGAAAUAGAAAUAGUUUGUUGUGGAGAACUAUACUGAUAAUGAAUGCGCUGUGUUGAAUUAAAAUUGAGUAACUUAGCUUUCAGCACAUGUCCAAAGGUUUAUUUUAUUUGCUAUAAUAAAUGACUAUCUUUUGCUUGAGAAGUUAUCUUUCCAAAUAAGACGAGAAAGUAGCAGCAAAUCAUAUUGGUAUCUGGUUUGAAGUAAUCUGUUAUGCGGUUGUUCAAGAAACACUGAUUCUUACAAGUCGUACUAUUAAUCAACACGUUUUAUUGUAUUUAACUUCAGAACUUGCGAAACAAGUACGUGUAGAAAGCACCAGCAAACCCAACCAGUUAGCUCUGUUGCGUGGAUUUUUCUUCUGGAUGGAGGUAACCUCAUUCAUAGCAUUUCUUUGUUUUUUCGUUAAUAACCGAUAAUGGCUCCACCUGUUGUUAAAGAACGGAGUAAUACAUUUUUUACCUGUUCCCAGUUAGAGCAAAUCUAUUUCUUUUUGUUUAGAGAAUUUUUUGUUAAUGGAGGCAGCCCAAUAUUGACCUGUUAAAGAUCAUGCUGGUACAUUACCAAUCGUAGUUAAUGAAUUUAUUUGCAGCAAAGUACUAACAGCUACGGUGCAUCAGUGUGAGUUUUUCUUGUUGCUAAUUUUGAAAAAUCAUGGCAUAAACCUAGUUCACUUUUGCAAAAGAUAAAGCUAGUUCACAACGGAGUAACUACCAUGUGAUUUCUUCAUAUUGCUUGAUUGUUAAUAGUAUGUGCCAGCUUCUUAUAUAGGUGGUCCCUCCCCGCAAAAAAAGAGAUGGAUUUCCCUAUCAAAUGGCCAAUUACAUAGCAAUAUUACAUUUCCCCUUAUUUGGUUAGUUAGGCCAACUGAAUGUACUGACCUGUGUCCCUAAUAAUCUACUCCCUUCCUUUGUAGAAUAUUGCGCAUCACGACCAAUUCAGGCCAUGGAGAGAUGAUUUCAAACAGUACAAAGUUACUAUGAUAGAAAUAGAGUAAGAUCACAAACAGAAUUACAGAAGAGUUUGUGCCUUCUCGAUUGAGGUGGCAUAGCCCCAGUUUCUCCUUGUUUUACUAGUUUGGUCUCCAGUGUGCAUCUUACACUGGUUGCUAUUGUUAUUUUGUCUCCAAAAACGUAGAGCUGAUGCUACCAGAAACUAGUAGCAUAUCACUCCCCAAAAUCAAUUAUCUUGAGACAGGGGUAUACCAUAGUUUGCUCAGCUUUUUCUUUCAGACAGAAGGUUUAUGGACGACAAUGUAUUAUUUUUAUAUGUGCAACUGCAGUCAUAACGUUGGAGUGCUCUCUGGUUCAUGCAUCUUUCUCAUGGAAGAGCAAGUGUUUACAAAUCAGCCUUUGGAUGGGAAAACCACUCUCUAGCAGAGUUAUAUACAUCAUUUUCUUUGAGUGAAAUAUACGUCUGUUUACAUCUGGGAUCUAGCUGCUGUCGAAUUUGACAUGGGGUUUUCCCAUGCUGAAAUUGAGCACUCUAGAUCUCAUGAUGUACUUUUUCUUUUUUGACGGAACCUCGCCGUGCUCCUGAAGAAGAAUAUAUAUAUUGGCUCGAUUUAUGCAGAAAACUAGCCCGAAAAAGCAUACAAGGGAUGAUUGAUUAAGGGCCAUGAACAAGAUCACCCCCAGCUAGCACCCUUCAUCAUUUUGAUGUUAGCCUUAGAUGAGUGGUUUGGGUAGUGGCCCAGCUAACACGCCUUUAUCAUUUGGAUAGAAGUAGUAGCAUAUGUUGCCAAGAUGGCGGAUUCAGGCAUAGUGUUGUAAUACUUUGUAAGGACCUCGAAAAUAAUCAAUAAAGUGGCCGCAUGUAUCUUCCAUAUCAUAUGCAGAGGCCAGGGGUCAUCCUCGUUUUCUAAAAAAAAUGAACAAGAUCACCGGCCAAACUUGGCCUCCACCGCCAACAUGGAUUUAUUUAGGGCAUCGACCACCAUCACCAUCAGCAAUGGAGUGAAGUUGCUAUUCUGGCAUGACAACCGGAGCAGUAAGGACCUCCUCAAGGCCUACGCUCCCGAGCUCUUCAAGAUCGCAACCAGAAAUAUUAGGACGAAUAUGAAGGAGCUAGAAGAUGAGAAUUAGAUCUCUAUCCUUGCAUGUCUUCAUUCCCCGGCUCAGCUCUGUGACUUGUCCACCUUUGGACGAUGCUAUCCUAACCGCCCUUGCUCCAAGCCAGGAGGACCGAAUAUCUUGGAAUGGACAUCCGAUGACAUUUACUCCUUGGCUUUGGCCUACACGGCUCAAACCCACGGAUCCCACCCCAAAUUCUCGCCGGCGAAGAUUUGGUCAGCAUUCUGUUGGUCGCAUGAUCCGAGAUGCCACUUGCGCCUGGAGGAGCCGGAAACCGCUAAGCAC